CAGGAACUUACGCACCAAAUCCACCAGGAUGGUGCCUCCACGGUCCAUAGCAAUUGAAGUGUCCUUCAGGAAACCUGAGUUGGAGGUGACACCUUUGGGGAAAGACAGAGAAACACAAGAGGUGUGACAGGAGAGUGAAGAAAGCUCAUGCAGGCCAGCGCAGGAGGGAGCACAGCUGUUUAAGUAUCAUUCAAUCCAGCACGGGCUGGAGUUGAGCAAAGCACAGUAAGAACAAACAGCAGCAUAUGGAGCUCAGAGAUUUCAGCCUUCAUGUAGAAUUUCACACUUUUAUUCUGCAGCAUCUGAAACAAGGAAGACGAAUUACCCCAGCCCAAAAUAGCUUUUCUCAUCAAUGUUCUAUCCCUGAUUAAUUCAACAGUUACACAUUCCUUCCCUUCCAGAAACCCUGGCAGAUAGCUGGGCCACUGGCCAGCUCUGCCCACUAGGGUUCUCCGAGUAUCACCCCACCUCUCCAAGCGGGUCCUGUGGAUCAGAGAGCUAGCAUCUCCUACAGCUGAUGGAGGAACAGCCCUGCUGCCUUCUGGGCCCCCAGUCUGUGCGCAGCACAUAAGACUUAUAGAAAGAGACCUUCUAAAAAUGUUAAAAUGUGUUACUGGCAUGUGGAACCUUACAUUAGAAUGAAUAAACCAAGAUUCAGCAC
This is a long non-coding RNA of Chelonoidis abingdonii (Abingdon island giant tortoise), 661 nucleotides long. RefSeq lists it as uncharacterized. NCBI's taxonomy places the organism in Eukaryota, Metazoa, Chordata, Testudines, Testudinidae. The record is from RefSeq and is a predicted model, not a curated record.